Regulatory RNA element from Chryseobacterium sp. Leaf394, 113 nucleotides. It matches the Rfam family "SAM riboswitch aptamer (S box leader)". From Rfam's summary of the family: The SAM riboswitch is found upstream of a number of genes which code for proteins involved in methionine or cysteine biosynthesis in Gram-positive bacteria. The SAM riboswitch acts at the level of transcription termination control. The record is from Rfam. NCBI's taxonomy places the organism in Bacteria, Pseudomonadati, Bacteroidota, Flavobacteriia, Flavobacteriales, Weeksellaceae.
AUGUUAUCAAGAAAGGUUGAGGGACAGACCCUGUGAAACCUUAGCAACCCUUUGCACAAGCGAAGAAGGUGCUACGUUCUACCAAAAGUUUUUAUUUUUUGGACAGAUAACUU